This 254-nucleotide ribosomal RNA is filed under the name uncultured bacterium. Its description in RNAcentral is "partial 16S ribosomal RNA". It matches the Rfam family "Bacterial small subunit ribosomal RNA", at positions 524 to 776 of the family's 1533-position model. The record is from RNAcentral.
UACGUAGGCAGCGAGCGUUGUUCGGAGUUACUGGGCGUAAAGGGUGUGUAGGCGGUUGUUUAAGUUUGGUGUGAAAUCUCCCGGCUCAACUGGGAGGGUGCGCCGAAUACUGAAUGACUUCGAGUGCGGGAGAGGAGAGUGGAAUUCCUGGUGUAGCGGUGAAAUGCGUAGAUAUCAGGAGGAACACCGGUGGCGAAGGCGGGUCUCUGGGCAGUAACUGACGCUCAUGCACGAGAGCGUGGGGAGCAAACAGG